RNAcentral lists this signal recognition particle RNA (299 nucleotides) under Aotus nancymaae (Ma's night monkey). RNAcentral's name for it is "Metazoan signal recognition particle RNA (ENSANAG00000012523.1)". It matches the Rfam family "Metazoan signal recognition particle RNA". From Rfam's summary of the family: The signal recognition particle (SRP) is a universally conserved ribonucleoprotein. It is involved in the co-translational targeting of proteins to membranes. The eukaryotic SRP consists of a 300-nucleotide 7S RNA and six proteins: SRPs 72, 68, 54, 19, 14, and 9. Lineage: Eukaryota; Metazoa; Chordata; Mammalia; Primates; Aotidae. The record is from RNAcentral.
GCCAGGCGUGGUGGAACGUGCUUGUAGUCCCAGCUACUUAGGAGGCUGAGGUGGGAGGAUCGCUUGAGUCCAGGAGUUCUGGUCUGUAUCGCGCUCUGCCAAUCAGGUGUCCACACUAAGUUUGGCAUCAAUAUGGUGACCUCCCAGGAGUGGGGAACCACCAGGUUGCCUAAGGAGGGGUGAACCAGCCCAGGCUGGAAACAGAGCAGGUCAAAACUCCUGUGCUGAUCAGUAGUGGGAUCGCACCUGUGAAUAGCCACUGCACUCCAGCCUGGGCAACAUAGUGAGACCCCAUCUCU